AUAUUGGGCAAUGGAGGCAACUCUGACCCAGCCAUGCCGCGUGCAGGAAGACUGCCCUAUGGGUUGUAAACUGCUUUUAUACAGGAAGAAACACUCGUACGUGUACGAGCUUGACGGUACUGUAAGAAUAAGGACCGGCUAACUCCGUGCCAGCAGCCGCGGUAAUACGGAGGGUCCGAGCGUUAUCCGGAAUCAUUGGGUUUAAAGGGUCCGCAGGCGGUCAAUUAAGUCAGAGGUGAAAUCCCAUAGCUUAACUAUGGAACUGCCUUUGAUACUGGUUGACUUGAGUUAUAUGGAAGUAGAUAGAAUGUGUAGUGUAGCGGUGAAAUGCAUAGAUAUUACACAGAAUACCGAUUGCGAAGGCAGUCUACUACGUAUAUACUGACGCUCAUGGACGAAAGCGUGGGGAGCGAACAGGAUUAGAUACCCUGGUAGUCCACGCCGUAAACGAUGGACACUAGUUGUUGGGAUUUAUCUCAGUGACUAAGCGAAAGUGAUAAGUGUCCCACCUGGGGAGUACGAUCGCAAGAUUGAAACUCAAAG
This 543-nucleotide ribosomal RNA is filed under the name uncultured Tenacibaculum sp. RNAcentral describes it as "bacterial SSU rRNA". It matches the Rfam family "Bacterial small subunit ribosomal RNA", at positions 361 to 906 of the family's 1533-position model. The record is from RNAcentral. Lineage: Bacteria; Pseudomonadati; Bacteroidota; Flavobacteriia; Flavobacteriales; Flavobacteriaceae.